AGAAAAUGAAAAAAUUGGUUUGCAAAUAUUUAAUAUUCCAAAAUUUAAAACCAAACUACAGUAAAGGCUAAUCAAAUCAUUUAUAUGUCACAAAAACAUUUUAGUAAGAAUUAUGUUUAAGUGAUACAUAUUGUGAAUUUCUUGUUUUUUAAAAAAAAUGUUUUAAAGGCCUAAGCAUAUUGCACCAGAAAUGGUCCAUAUGCUUUCUUUAUAAGGAGUUUCUUAGAUUAACACAACAUAUGUUUACUGAGUACUCUAUUUGCAAACUUUUCUGGAUUUUUAAAGAUAUAAAGAUAAAGAGAGUGCAUUUUUUGCCCUCAAUGAGCUCAUAUAUUGUAGAAGAAAUUAGUUAAAAGUGUAUAUAGACAUAAAUGAAAGAUACCUCAAUAUUGAUAAAUGCACAUAAAAUAAUAUGAUAACUCAUAGAUGGGAAGGAUAAUUUUAGACUGAUAUUUUCUGCUAUCAUAUCUUUUAUUUAGGUGAUACGGAAAAGUUAAUUAAAUCUUAAAAUCUCCCAAAUGCACAGGUGUUUCUAUUAAUUGGUGCCUAUCCAACACGUCAAUACCUGUCAGUGGCUUGAUUUUAUUCACCAAGAGAUAGCAGAGGACAUAUUGCUUGCUUCCCAGCAUUUCUCUGGCAGCAGUAGCAUAUACACCAACACCACUGCAAGUUCUACUGAAGGUCAACAAGAUAGUUAUAGAAAGAUCAAGGCUUAGAUGCAACUAGAUGAAGGACUCCAAUGAAGAUGUGAUUUCUUUUCUUUAUCCAAUGCAACAGCAAUCAUGCCCAGCAUUUUCUCUUUGGAAGUUUUCUGUGUUCUAAUGCUGAUGACAAGAAACAGACAAGUUAUACUUUCAAAGACAUGAGGUACCUGUGGAGUCUAAGAAGACUAGCAGGGCCACAUGGUUUGGACUCCACUUCACUGCAACUGGUGGAGAAAUAUGUCACCAUAGAAAGAGCAGCACUGAAAGUGGGACAUCCAUUGUGCAUGUUCAUUUUCUCAAGGAUAAAGUUUUUGCAUUGGCUAUUGCCCAAUGCUGUAAUACAGCACAUAUAUUUAUACAUAUCUG
This 1070-nucleotide long non-coding RNA is filed under the name Vulpes vulpes (red fox). RNAcentral's name for it is "lncRNA (ENSVVUG00000016392.1)". Lineage: Eukaryota; Metazoa; Chordata; Mammalia; Carnivora; Canidae. The record is from RNAcentral.